AAGUGCUGAGCAUCUCUGGGAACGCCUUAAAGACUGUUGGAAGACCAUUUCAAAUGACUACCUCUUGGAGCUCAUCAAGAGAAUGCCAGUGUGUGCGAAGCAGUAAUCAAAACAAAAGCUGUUUUUCUGCUGUGUGCUGUUCUUUGCUCUGCGGAUGUUAUGAAUCAGAACUGUGUUUCCAGUUGGAAGGUGAAUUGUUUUCAUCCAGCUGACCACAUGAAUGCCUCUGAUCCUGUCAGCUUGAAGGUGUCAUUUGGUCAAAAACUCGUCGUCUCUUUGGAUGGCCUCCCUGAUGCCACCGUCUGUCAGUGGAGUGGAGCUCAAGGCUCUCUGCUGAAAAUGUAAUCAUAAUAUUGUUUUAAUGAGGGGUUGGAGUAUCCUCAAUUUUAAUCAUUCAAAUUGUGACAUCUUCUUAAAUGACUCCAGAG
Molecule: long non-coding RNA, 428 nt
Organism: Cyprinodon variegatus (sheepshead minnow)
Lineage: Eukaryota; Metazoa; Chordata; Actinopteri; Cyprinodontiformes; Cyprinodontidae
Exons: 3
Source: RefSeq, a predicted model, not a curated record